UGCAGUUGUUUUUAUUUAAACUUCUCUUGGCACCAUUUUCUCAUAACAGUCAUCCGCUAGGACUUGCCCUAAUGCCAAACCCCCAGCUCUCAGUGGUCUGUGAAGGUAACAGAAGGGAGUGAAAUAUCACUGCAUGCUUGUGCUGCUGGAGAGUGAGAAUUUUCACUACGCCUGUUUUGUGCAAACAUCCAACUUCUUGCACUCGAAUGCUUGCACAAACAGACUUGGCUUUGUUUUUAUCAACUGUUCUUAAAUGAAAGUUAUUUAUGCAGAGUAUAAACUGUUAUGCAUUAUCAUUCUAGCCAGUCAAACAGUCCCCCUCUUUUUAAGUAAUGUUGAGAGAAAGUGUUUCUGUUUUCCUAUUUUGACUGCACUACUUGUCAUUAGGUUCUAGAAUUUUUCCCAAAAGGCACCCUAUUCCCUUUAUGGUGUACUACUUUUGACCAGAGCCCUAUCGGCUUUGGUCAGAAGGAGUGCACUAUAAAGGGAAUAGGGUUCCAUUUGGGAUGCAUUUUGGGACACAACCUUGUGUAUGUCUGUCUGCUGAGUCUUCUAAAUAAAGUGAGCCUCAAGUCCCGAUUCUCUAACCUGUACCUAAAACCCUACUGACCAGUCAUAUGCAAUUAAUAAAUAUGUAUGACAUCAAUUUCCUGUGCAUGUUGGUGUUGAGGGAUUUUUGCCCUCAGUUCAAAUCUUUUGUUUCCCCUGUCUCAAGGACAAGGGGCUGAGUCACUGGCUUACUGGUGCUCUUCCAUGCCAUCCCUGGGAGGGGUGCGUCACUUGAGUGGGUUGAGUCAUUGACGUGAUCUCCUGUCUGGGUUGGCGCCCCCCAUUGGGUUGUGCCGUGGCGGCCUUGUCUCAGCCUUGUCUCAGGAUGGACCUGAGCCCUAGGACCAUGCCUCAGGACUAUCUGGCCUGAUGACUCCUUGCUGUCCCCAGUCCACCUGGCCGUGCUGCUGCUCCAGUUUCAACUGUUCUGCCUGCGGCUAUGGAAUCCUGACCUUUUCACCGGACGUGCUACCUGUCCCAGACCUGCUGUUUACAACUCUCUAGAGACAGCAGGAGCGGUAGAGAUACUCUCAAUGAUCGGCUAUGAAAAGCCAACUGACAUUUACUCCUGAGGUGCUGACCUGUUGCACCCUCGGCAUCCACUGUUAUUAUUAUUAUUUGACCCUGCUGGUCACCUAUGAACAUUUGAACAUCUUGGCCAUGUUCUGUUAAUCUCCCCCCGGCACAGCCAGAAGAGGACUGGCCACAACUCGUAGCCUGGUUAUUCUCUAGGUUUCUUCCUAGGUUCUGGCCUUUCUAGGGAGUUUUUCCUAGCCACCGUGCUUCUACACCUGCAUUGCUUGCUGUUUGGGGUUUAGGCUGGGUUUCUGUACAGCACUUUGAGAUAUCAGCUGAUGUAAGAAGGGCUUUAUAAAUAAAUGUGAUUGAUUGAUAAUGACAAAGCAAAAACAGGUUUUUAGACAUUUUUGCAAAUUUAUAAAAAAUCUAAAACAGAAAUACCUUAUUUAAAUAAGUAUUCAGACCCUUUGCUAUGAGACUUGAAAUUGAACUCAGCUGCAUCUCUGAUGUUGCACCUAUCCUGGGAUUGUGUAUGACUUAGAUGCUCACUCUCCUCUGUGAGCUCGUCUAGGCGUGUGAUCAAGGACAUGGGUUUUACUUGAGAUAGGGGUAUCUGGAGUUGACAGUUGAUUUAUGCCAUAGAAUGAGUUGGUGUUUAUGUACUAUGAAGUACCAGGGACGUGAUCUGAGCCUUGUCUUAGGGGCCAAACUCUGUACAAUAAGAACAGUCUUCAUAGCAAAUGCUAUCUGGCUGGGGGAUACUCCUUUCUCAAUUAUCAAGUCUCACCUUCGGACCCAUUCCACACAUCUGUUGUUUGCUAUGUAGACUAAGGGGGUGUAUCUUUGCUAUAAAAAGGUCUUUGUAUCCUUUGUGUCGGGGCUCUCAACGAAUCAUCUGAGGGUGGUUCGUCGACCAGCCAUCGCUAUUGCAGAGCUCUCACUAAUAAAGAUUCAGUUUAAGUAUAACUCUGACUUGUGUGAUAAGUUUGUCUCUCCUCAUUGAUAACACAGAAAUUAACCACUACGGUGGCCUCCAUCAUUCUUAAAUGGAAGAAGUUUGGAACCACCAAGAGGCAAACUAGAACUGGCCGCCUGGCCAAAUUGAGCAAUCAGGGCAGAAGGGACUUGGUCAGGGAGGUGACCAAGAACCUGAUGGUCACUCUGACAGAGCUCCAGAGUUUGUCUGUGGAGAUGGGAGAACAUUCCAGAAGGACAACCAUCUCUGCAGCACUCCACCAAGCGUGCUGGUGGCAGCAUCAUGCUGUGGGGAUGUUUUUA
Molecule: long non-coding RNA, 2346 nt
Filed under: Salmo salar (Atlantic salmon)
Lineage: Eukaryota; Metazoa; Chordata; Actinopteri; Salmoniformes; Salmonidae
Description: lncRNA (ENSSSAG00000108224.1, ENSSSAG00000111813.1)
Source: RNAcentral